GAUGAACGCUGGCGGCGUGCCUAAUACAUGCAAGUCGAGCGAACGGACGAGAAGCUUGCUUCUCUGAUGUUAGCGGCGGACGGGUGAGUAACACGUGGAUAACCUACCUAUAAGACUGGGAUAACUUCGGGAAACCGGAGCUAAUACCGGAUAAUAUUUUGAACCGCAUGGUUCAAAAGUGAAAGGCGGUCUUGCUGUCACUUAUAGAUGGAUCCGCGCUGCAUUAGCUAGUUGGUAAGGUAACGGCUUACCAAGGCAACGAUGCAUAGCCGACCUGAGAGGGUGAUCGGCCACACUGGAACUGAGACACGGUCCAGACUCCUACGGGAGGCAGCAGUAGGGAAUCUUCCGCAAUGGGCGAAAGCCUGACGGAGCAACGCCGCGUGAGUGAUGAAGGUCUUCGGAUCGUAAAACUCUGUUAUUAGGGAAGAACAUAUGUGCAAGUAACUGUGCACAUCUUGACGGUACCUAAUCAGAAAGCCACGGCUAACUACGUG
This 497-nucleotide ribosomal RNA is filed under the name uncultured bacterium. RNAcentral's name for it is "partial 16S ribosomal RNA". It matches the Rfam family "Bacterial small subunit ribosomal RNA", at positions 28 to 507 of the family's 1533-position model. The record is from RNAcentral.